UUAAAUUGAAGAGUUUGAUCAUGGCUCAGAUUGAACGCUGGCGGCAGGCCUAACACAUGCAAGUCGAACGGUAACAGGGAUCAGCUUGCUGAUUCGCUGA
RNAcentral lists this ribosomal RNA (100 nucleotides) under Escherichia coli. RNAcentral's name for it is "partial 16S ribosomal RNA". It matches the Rfam family "Bacterial small subunit ribosomal RNA", at positions 1 to 94 of the family's 1533-position model. Lineage: Bacteria; Pseudomonadati; Pseudomonadota; Gammaproteobacteria; Enterobacterales; Enterobacteriaceae. The record is from RNAcentral.